This 1614-nucleotide long non-coding RNA is filed under the name Pandoravirus dulcis. Its description in RNAcentral is "putative ncRNA". The record is from RNAcentral.
CGUGACCGUGGCCCAGCGCGGCCACGUAGACCUCGCGAUCCCACGGGCAGCCGCGGCCAUGCGCGUACGCCAGGCAUUCGAGGUGUCCGCCGCCAGCGGCGGCCGUGCACGUGGUCGCAUCCCACGGACACCCAUGGCGGAAGAGGUAGUCGAGAACGUCGAGCCUUCCGUGCGCCGCUGCGGCAGCGGUCGCCUGUGCGUCCCACGGGCAGCCGCGCCGACGCAGAUAGAUCAAGGCAUUCAUGUUGCCCGCGCCGGCCGCCGCAGCCAUGGCCUUUGGCGUCGGCGUGCACCCGCGACUGCACAGGCGGUCCAACAUGGCAAUGUCGCCAUGGCGCGCCGCCAGGAUCACCCAGCGCGGCCCGUAAAGCGUGACGACGUCGCCGGUGCCGUUGUUUCCGUCGACUCGAUCUCUCGUAUUCUCAUCGUGACCCGCGCGGAUCUUUGCGCGGCCGCGACUGGCGGCAGCGGGCGCCUUUGCUUGGCCGACAGUCGGGUCGACAAUGUCGUCGUCGCCGCCGCCGAGACAGCGCGCCCACAAGAGAUCGACGCAGGCAACGUCGCGACCUGCGACGGCCGCCUGAAUGGCGUGGGUCGCGACAACGCGUCCGUCGUACUGGGCGAGCAGCAGGCGCAGCACGUCGACGCUACCGGCUCGGGCCGCGGCGAGGAUGGCCGUGGCGUCCCACGGGCACCGGCGCCGCAUGAGCCACUGGACGACGUCGACGUGGCCGCCGCGGGCCGCCGCCGCCAUGGUGCUCUCGCCGCGCGGGCACCGGCGCGUCUGCAACAGGCGCAGGAGCGCAAUGUCGCCCGACUCGGCGGCGCGGUCGGCGCUGGCGCGCGUGGGCGGAUGCGACUCCCACAGCCAGUCGAGCACGACGCGCUGCUUGGCAGCCGCCGCCGCGGCCUCGCACGCGCCCUGGUCGUACGGAUGCCUGUGCGUCGCCGCAUAGGCCAGGAUGCCGAGGCGGCCGCACGACGCGGCCUCGACGCACGCGGCCGGCACCCACGGGUGGCCCAGCAUGCGGCACAGCACGUCGAGGACCGCGAUCCGGUCGUUGCGGGCCGCACAGAGGCACGCGUGCCCACGGUACCGGCACUGCGGGUCGUGCGCGUAGAGGCGCCAGUCGGCGGCGGCGUCGCCGAUAAGGUUGGUGAUGUAGGGUCCCACGUAGUCGAUGUGCGCGGGAUCGGCCGCACGCGCACGGCGCGCACAGACGGGCUCGGCGCGCGUCAUCACAUCCGCGGCAAUGCCCUUCCACCGGACCGACACGGCGCCCGCGCCCGCGUACAGAUCGGCGCAGUCAAGGCGGCCAAACACAUCCACAAGCACCUCGUCGGGCAGAUCGCCGAUGGUGCACAUGCUGUUGUCGUCGCAGAGGUUCGAAAUUUAAAGGGGGGGCGUAGCCCUAGGACGGAAAGAGUGAAUGUUGGCCUGGUUGUUGGUCUGUCGGUCGUCGCCGUCGCCGAGCGAUAACGAUGCCGCCGCGGCGUGCUGUUUCAUCCCUGUUGCAUCCGACUGCGGUCGUACCAGCGACCAAUAACCAAGAGAAAAAUAACCGUCGACAUGCGCCGUGAUUGGAGAAUGUUCUUUUUUGUCUUGGCCUAUAG